This is a long non-coding RNA of Marmota monax (woodchuck), 2523 nucleotides long. RefSeq lists it as uncharacterized. Lineage: Eukaryota; Metazoa; Chordata; Mammalia; Rodentia; Sciuridae. The record is from RefSeq and is a predicted model, not a curated record. The transcript is spliced from 2 exons.
CCUCGAACCACCAGGCCAGGUCGCAGCUGGGCAGGUCGCAGCACGCGGCCGUGCAGGCCCCCAGGGAGAAGGUCUGAGGCACUGGCACGAUUCUGACGGUUUCCAGGUUGGCCGGAAUGACGGCGUUGGGGUUAUUCUGAUGACAGAUCAGUCAACAGAGAAAUAUCCAAGAUUGAGAAAAGGUUGUUCUCUGUACAUAUCUAGAACCAAGUAGUCUUAAUCAGAUUCUCAAUAACCAGAAGAAGGCAGUAACCACCACAGGCGAUGACACUACUGAAGUGGUCUACUAUAACUCACUCCCACCAACUCCAUGUCAGACCAGCUUUGAGAAGCUUCUAUAGAAAGGUGUCAUUGCCUGAAAUUCAAGGGCAAAAUCACUUCCCUUGUAUUCUUAAUUGUUUGGUAUUUUACAGAAAAAUCAGUCCAUGACAGAUUGGACACAAACUGGCCUUGCCACACACAAUUUUAAAAGCAUUGUAUUAAAGUUUUGCUGCAGAACUCAGAAUGACAAGAGGUUUCCUCCCUAGUUAGGUUCAUCACUAAUGAUUCUUUAAAUAACUGAGUUUUUGGUUUUUUUUUUUUUCAUAUGAAGGAAUGUCAGAGGUUGUUCUAACUGGAAAUAGUGUAAAAGGCUAUACACAGCCUAGGAAUUAUUUUUAUGUUUCCUUGCACACACCAUAAGUUUUAAAAUAACCCAAAGCCAAACCUUGACUCUAUGAAAAUACUAUUUAGUCCUAUUUGUUUAUUUGUUGGCACUGGAGAUGGAACCCAGGGCCUUGCCCCUGAGUUACACCUCCAUUCCUGUUUAGUCUAAUUUAAUACGAAUUAGGUAUCCUAGAUGUUUUUCUUCUCCAGUGCAUAAGAUAGCAACACACUAAAAUGAAGUGGCACUUCUCAAACAUAAGUCUACUCUUUAAAAUCAUCCAAAUAGUUUUGUCCUUUUAUUUUCUAGAAAAGAGCUUCAUCUGUGAUAUGGAGAAAGUAGUGAUAUACUCCAGCUGAGUAUCACAAAAUAGCAUCUCAUCAAGAUCAAAGAUGAUGAGAGGUGAAGAAUAGAGAGAAUCUCCCACUCCCAACUCCACUCUCAAAACCAUUGUGUUUAGAGGUAUCACUGCAUCUCUGAGUGGCCUUUAAAUGAAGACCCAAGCUAGACCCAUUAUUUCACACAUGAAUGCCAAGGUAUGCUUUAGUUUCCUUGAGAAAUAGUUGGGUCAUCUCCUUUGGACAAAGUGAUUCAGAGAAAAAUCAUGUUCAUUUCUGGCCUUGGCUCCCAGAAAGCUCAAGAGCCAAAUUUUAAACUACGUCACAGGAACCACCACAUAGGGAAAGCUGUGACCUUGGAGCACACAUAGUUAUAGGGGUGAAGAGAACUUCCUGUGGAAGACGUCUUCAACUCAAGCUUAGCCAGUUUCAACUGGGCGGGAGGAGGCCACGGGGCAGACCAUUCCUAUAUUCUGCAAAACUUAAGCAGAGACAUUACUGCUAAAUAAGGAAAUCAGGAAGGUGGCUGCUGACAACAAAAUCAUUUUUGCUUUGUUCAAGUUUCAUAAUCACUUUACCAUCUUUACAGCACACUUGACUGAAGGAGCACCAAAUUCCUGGAACCAAGGAACUGUCAGUAAUUGUAUGCUCUUAAAUCCUAACCCAAUCCAUGAACAUUGUAGGCAUUUGAUUGUCGACAAUAAAAUCACUGGUUAGCAUUUAACAAAGGCAAAUUGCAGAUAACAUUAUUGGGACUCAGUAACUUAGGAACUGAAUUUGUGAACUAGUGGACGGUACCUCAAAAGAAAAUGGCAGACAGAGCUAGCAUCUCACUAAAACCUAUUUGGUCUUAAUUAUAUAGAACCCUACAAUCAUUAAUUUCAUUAACUUAGUUGUCGUCUCAAAAAAAGAACAAAAAGGAAUGGGAAAAUGUUCCUUUGUGUUUUAAAAAUGGAUGUCUACACAUUAAUAUUAACGAAGGUAUUUUUCAGAGCAUGUUUAACAUUCUAUCUUGCACACUAGCGGUGACAGGAGUAGAUGGGGGUGGUAAACUAGCAUGAUGGGCAGAACUUUCCAAAGUGGCCCUUGCAUCAUCUAAAAUAGUGCUUCCCAAAAUUUAGGUCUUCUGAACCACCGCCAGGUGCUAGCUGAAACCCCAGAUCUCUGAGCCAUGCCCUAGGAGUUCUGACUCAGCAGACCUGGAGUGCAGGCCCCAGGACAAGGGUCUCAGGCUAUCCUCACCAUGGCCUCACAAUGGUUGACGAAGUCUGUAAAUGAACAGUGUUAGAGUCUGUAAACAAGUCAGGAUGGCGCCUGGCAUUUUGCCAGGGGAAUGUUAGAGUUAGAGUUCGUAGACAAGUCUGGAUGGUGCCUGGCAAAAUGCCAGAGGGAGUGGUUUGAGAAGUAACAAAAGCAAGCCAUUAAGUGUGGAGAUUCCUUAUUGGUUGACUGAUGUAUCUAGUUUAUGCUAAUUAGAUAAGCUGUGUGGAAUGUAUAAAUACUGCUCCUGUCCUGCAAUAAACGGCUUCCACUCCUGCUGUA